CCGGAUUCAAUAUUAUGGUUGAAUAUUUUCAUUCCGGCAGUUAUGUGCUGUGUCAGUUCCUCAUUACGCUGGUUGAGAAAAGAAUUGGAAAACUGAAAUGAAGAGUACGCUGCAAUGUACAUGAACGAUAAUUGACCAAACCUGUUAAAUAACACAACCAAAGGACCAGAGGGAAAUCGGAUUCGCCCUGAACUUGGAGUCGUUUGAAUAUACUCAUCAAAAGGUCAUUAUCAAGAACUGAAGAAAUAUGAACGAAAACAGUUUGUUAAAUGAAAAAAGUCAUGGCCUGGAAACCGGACUUGAAAUAAGGGAAAAAGAACAUAACAAUUCAGCAGUGUCCAGGGAGGAUCAAAGCAACAGUCCUACACAUGAAGGGUCUACAUCGACAAGGAAUGACAGUCCAGAAAUUCCUCCAACCGGACAGAACUCCAAUCUUUUCUCUAAUGGGCAUAGCGCAGCAAAAUGCAACGAUCCAUCAGUUUCUAAAGAUGCACAGAGCGUCAGUCAUCCACCUGAAGGAGACACCGAGGAAUAUCAUGAUGCACCAAGCCAUUCAAGUAGCAACGUUGAUAAUGGUGAGAAAGAAAAUGGACAAUCAGAUGAAAAUUUGAAUCCAGAUGCCGCUGGUGGCACAAGCUUUCAGAAAGAUUAUGAACCAUCUCUAAAAAUUGUUGAAACCGAUGACUGUCUCAAGUUCAAGUGGAAUGAAGUCCCAGAUGCUACCAAAUACACGAUUGAGAUAAUGAGACCAUCAAUGAAUGAGCCUAUAACAAAAACUGCAGAAAAAUCAGAAUAUGAACUAAAAAACAAUAUAUAUAACUUCAAAAGAGGAGAAACAAUCAUUCUUACUAUAAAAUUCUUUGAUGCAUCUGGGCAGGACAGUAUUAUCGUAAAAAAGUGUCACGUAGUAGCAGGAGGCGACGAUGUUAUCAGUGGAUUACAAGUGAAACUUAAUGAAACGGCUCCUCAUUCUGUCAUUGAUCUGACUUGGACAAAACCUAAGAAUGAUCCUGAAAAAUACAAAAUCACAUUCAUAGAACUAGAUGCAAAUGAAGACGGAAUACCAAGUUAUGCUGAAGAUAUACAGCACACAGCUGUUGAUCUUCAACCAUCUGCAAAAUAUAAAUUUACAGUGGCGGCAGUGUUUUCAGAUGGUCAUGAAGGAUUACCAGUGUCUUCCGAAAUUAUAAACACAGAUAUUCCACCACCUGAACUCUUCAAAGCUGAAAAGGUUCAAGCAGAGAAAGAUCGUGAGAAUCCAUACAGGCAAAUCACAGUGACAUGGAUGAAACCAAAUGUGAAAGUCAAGAUUAAACACUAUGAGGUAUUUUUGAAGUCUGCUGAUGGCAAAAAAACAGAACAACAAGUCAUCAAACCAGCAGACAAAAAAGCUCAUUUCAAAGAUUUGAGGUCAAACACUUCUUAUCGGGCUUAUGUGACAACUGUCGACAAGUUUCUUCACGAAAGCAAAGAAAGUGUCUCAGAGGAAGUCAUGACUGAUCUAGCUCCACGAAUUGAGGGUUUUGAUAUAAAAGAAUCAGGAAAACCUAUUAUAGAAAAAUGCAUCGCUGAUGAAAAGCCAAAUGGGUUAAUGAGCAGAUUUGAAUGGAAGUUGCCAAAUCUUGGAAUAGAGAGAUAUAACUAUAAACCUAUGGAAAUAGUGGCCGUUGCUAAAUUGAGGGGAAAAGAGGAAAAAAUUUUGCAAGUGGAGAAACGUACCGAAGCAGUGCCUAUUCCUUUACAAAGAGGAAAGUUAUAUGAAUUUCAUCUUUCGUGUUCAUACAUUGAUUUGGACAAUCCUACUGACAAACUACAAGCUGUUAAAAAACAAGAUUUGGUUACAGAUGUUGGCAAACCAUCCAUUUUGAAUGUGAAAUGGGAAAAAAAAGAAAAUAAAAGUUAAAUGGGAAGGAGGCAAAGGCGCAUCAAAACAUGCCCUUAAGGUGAUGUGUGGAGGCAAUAUUAGACUGAAUGAGGAACUAACUCCUAAUAAGAGUCGUGCGACCCAUGAUUAUACUUUUGACAUGAAUGACUACUAUGGAAAAACUCUCCACUUUGUUAUUGAAGCAACUGGAGAAGGAAACAAUACCCAAAAAAAUGAAAAAAAUGUUUUAAUAGGUGGGGACUAUGCCGUGAAGGAGGUUGUUGCAGAGAAAGAUAUCCAAAAUCCAAGAAGAAAUAUUAUUGUUUCAUGGCAACCUCCCAAUACUCCCCCUAAAAGCUACAAAAUUAAAGUGCACAAGGUUCAGCAGAAUAUACCAGAGAAACCGAUAUUGGUUAACGAGAUAUGUGCAAUUGAACAAACUCAAACAUCCUAUACGAUUAUUGAACUAAAAACAAGUACAGAAUAUUAUUUUGAAGUCGCCCCAAUCUAUGGCAUCGAAACAUCAGAUGGAAGCGUUUCAAACAAGAUUAAA
Molecule: non-coding RNA, 2417 nt
Organism: Styela clava
Lineage: Eukaryota; Metazoa; Chordata; Ascidiacea; Stolidobranchia; Styelidae
Source: RefSeq, a predicted model, not a curated record